CUACCCAUUCACUCACCCACCCACCCAUUCAUCCAUCCAUCUACCCACCUGUCUGUCCAUCCAUCCAUCCAUUCACCCACCUACCUGUCUACCUACUCAUCUGUCCCUCCAUUCAUCCACUCACCCACCCAUCCACCGAUCCACCUACCAACUUGUCCAUCCACCCACCCACCUAUCCAUCCACUCAUCCAUCUAUCCAUUCAUCUACCCAUCUACUUUUCCAUCCAUCUAUUCAUUCAUGCAUCCAUCCACCUAUCCUUCUGUCUACUCAUCCAUUCACCCACCGACCCACCCAUCCAUAUAUCCAUCCAUCCACCCACACACCCACCCACUCAGCCAGCCAUCCCGUCCAUUCAUUCAUCCAUCCAUCCACCCCAUCCGGCCAUCCAUCUAUCCACCUACUCAUCUGUCCAUCCAUCUACCCAUCCAUCCACCCAUCUUCUUAUCUACCCAUCCAUCCAUCCGUCCAUUUUUAAUCACCUGCUCAAAGUGGAAAACCAACACGUGCCCCUAGGAACUCACAGUCCUGGUGGUGAGUAUCGGAAAGCACAGGGAAAGGAGUGCCUGACCUGGGAGAAUGGAGGUCAUGCUGAGUCUUCAGAGCAAAUAGGAAGUUCCUGGGUGGUUACGGGGGAGGGAAAGUCACGGCAGCAGGAGUAGCGCACACGUCACAUGCAUGUGACAGGGAGCAGUGCAGUGCAUUCAGGAAGCUCGGGGCUGUGUGGUGAGGACUCAGAACGCAGGGAGAAGGCGGCACAGGCCCAGAGGAUGAGGGGCUGUGGGUCAGAGAAUGGUGGGAACCUCCCCAAAUCCCAAGUUCCCCGAGGCCAGCCCAGGGCCAGCCUUGUGUGCGGGUGUUUCUGAGGAUGGUGCGUCUCUGCAUGAGCCUUGUGUGUCAUGUGCAAGAGUGUGUGUUGUGUCCUAUGCGUGGGAGGGAGCUGCCGGCGGUGCAUUUGUGGGGGCCGAGGGCCAGUCAGGAUGUGCCGUUAGAACCACGUGGCUCCUGAAAGCAAGCCCGUGAUACCAGAGAUACCUGGUAGUAGCAUCUAUAUCUGAUUAGCUGUACAUCUCUUGACAGUCUUUUUAAAAGCAUGAGUGAAGAAAGACAUAAACUUCCGGAUUUGCGUAAGUGAGCUUGCCAACUAAGGAAACACAUGAGUAUUAUCUGUAUCUUCAGGAGCACUUGAUUAGACUCCAGAAACAGAAACUGCAGCUGCUCCCACCACCCCCACCACCGCAGGCCCUCCCCGGGGCGCAGCCAACCACACAAGUGCAAGUGCAGCCAUCACCCCCCACCACAGCAGAGCCCCCAGCUCACCACGGUCACGGCCCCGAGACCCAGAGCCCUGUUGAUGGGCACCACCAUGGCCAACCUCCAGACUCGAGUUUCCACCUCCCACCUGCAAGGCCCAAGACUGAUGUCAGCGCUGACGUACCAGAUGGCCCAGGUUGCUGUGGCCACGCCUCCUGUGGUGUCUGUCCUGGCAGUUGUGGUGCUGUCAGCCAGGGUCACAGUGCUUCCAUCAACGCAACGGGAUCAGUGUUGUGAUAAGGCAGCUGCAAAAAGCGGCAGGUAGGCAGCCACCUUCGCCUCACCAAACUCGAAACAACUCACUUGAGUGAGUUGCAUCAAACCUUUCUAAAUUUCUCAUUCUAGAAGUUGCUGAG
This 1668-nucleotide long non-coding RNA is filed under the name Pan troglodytes (chimpanzee). Its description in RNAcentral is "long non-coding RNA NONPTRT003753". Lineage: Eukaryota; Metazoa; Chordata; Mammalia; Primates; Hominidae. The record is from RNAcentral.